Molecule: transfer RNA, 65 nt
Filed under: Acanthurus nigricans (whitecheek surgeonfish)
Lineage: Eukaryota; Metazoa; Chordata; Actinopteri; Acanthuriformes; Acanthuridae
Also listed under: 2 other names
Description: tRNA-Cys
Rfam family: tRNA
About the family: Transfer RNA (tRNA) molecules are approximately 80 nucleotides in length. Their secondary structure includes four short double-helical elements and three loops (D, anti-codon, and T loops).
Source: RNAcentral
AGCUCCGGGGUGUUAUCACGUUAGAUUGCAAAUCUAAAGAGGCAGGUUAGCGCCUGCCGGGGCUU